CCCCGAAAGCUAUUUAGGUAGCGCCUCGUGAAUUCAUCUCCGGGGGUAGAGCACUGUUUCGGCUAGGGGGCCAUCCCGGCUUACCAACCCGAUGCAAACUGCGAAUACCGGAGAAUGUUAUCACGGGAGACACACGGCGGGUGCUAACGUCCGUCGUGAAGAGGGAAACAACCCAGACCGCCAGCUAAGGUCCCAAAGUCAUGGUUAAGUGGGAAACGAUGUGGGAAGGCCCAGACAGCCAGGAUGUUGGCUUAGAAGCAGCCAUCAUUUAAAGAAAGCGUAAUAGCUCACUGGUCGAGUCGGCCUGCGCGGAAGAUGUAACGGGGCUAAACCAUGCACCGAAGCUGCGGCAGCGACACUGUGUGUUGUUGGGUAGGGGAGCGUUCUGUAAGCCUGUGAAGGUGUGUCGUGAGGCAUGCUGGAGGUAUCAGAAGUGCGAAUGCUGACAUAAGUAACGAUAAAGCGGGUGAAAAGCCCGCUCGCCGGAAGACCAAGGGUUCCUGUCCAACGUUAAUCGGGGCAGGGUGAGUCGACCCCUAAGGCGAGGCCGAAAGGCGUAGUCGAUGGGAAACGGGUUAAUAUUCCCGUACUUGGUGUUACUGCGAAGGGGGGACGGAGAAGGCUAUGUUGGCCGGGCGACGGUUGUCCCGGUUUAAGCGUGUAGGUGUGUGUUCCAGGUAAAUCCGGUUCACUUUAACACUGAGGCGUGACGACGAGGCACUACGGUGCUGAAGCAACAAAUGCCCUGCUUCCAGGAAAAGCCUCUAAGCAUCAGGUAACAUCAAAUCGUACCCCAAACCGACACAGGUGGUCAGGUAGAGAAUACCAAGGCGCUUGAGAGAACUCGGGUGAAGGAACUAGGCAAAAUGGUGCCGUAACUUCGGGAGAAGGCACGCUGACACGUAGGUGAAGUGAUUUACUCAUGGAGCUGAAGUCAGUCGAAGAUACCAGCUGGCUGCAACUGUUUAUUAAAAACACAGCACUGUGCAAACACGAAAGUGGACGUAUACGGUGUGACGCCUGCCCGGUGCCGGAAGGUUAAUUGAUGGGGUCAGCGCAAGCGAAGCUCCUGAUCGAAGCCCCGGUAAACGGCGGCCGUAACUAUAACGGUCCUAAGGUAGCGAAAUUCCUUGUCGGGUAAGUUCCGACCUGCACGAAUGGCGUAAUGAUGGCCAGGCUGUCUCCACCCGAGACUCAGUGAAAUUGAACUC
This 1211-nucleotide ribosomal RNA is filed under the name Salmonella enterica subsp. enterica serovar Enteritidis. RNAcentral's name for it is "partial 23S ribosomal RNA". It matches the Rfam family "Bacterial large subunit ribosomal RNA", at positions 857 to 2049 of the family's 2925-position model. The record is from RNAcentral. Lineage: Bacteria; Pseudomonadati; Pseudomonadota; Gammaproteobacteria; Enterobacterales; Enterobacteriaceae.